UACGUAGGGGGGCAAGCGUUGUCCGGAAUUAUUGGGCGUAAAGAGCUCGUAGGCGGUGUGUCGCGUCGGCCGUGAAAACCUGGGGCUCAACUCUGGGCGUGCGGUCGAUACGGGCAUCACUUGAGUUCGGCAGGGGAGACUGGAAUUCCUGGUGUAGCGGUGAAAUGCGCAGAUAUCAGGAGGAACACCGGUGGCGAAGGCGGGGUCUCUGGGCCGAUACUGACGCUGAGGAGCGAAAGCAUGGGUAGCGAACAGG
This 256-nucleotide ribosomal RNA is filed under the name uncultured bacterium. RNAcentral describes it as "partial 16S ribosomal RNA". It matches the Rfam family "Bacterial small subunit ribosomal RNA", at positions 524 to 776 of the family's 1533-position model. The record is from RNAcentral.